UUCAUUAAUAUAGAGAAAAUGGCUUGCAUUAAAGAAGAAAGAAAACUGAGAUGGGGCAAAAAGAAGAUACAAACAAGAAUCCACAAACGAACACAAAACGCAUAAACAACAUAAGCAUUAUCAUCAUCUGCAAUGUCUAGGGAUCAAAGAUGCUGCAUCCGUCACAUUUUUUUUUUCUCAAAACAGGAUUCAAAAUCUGAAAGGUGCACAUCAGAUUUUCAUCUAUGCUCAUCAUGGCACCAACAUUAUCAUAUUCACCACGAUAGUUGGGAGCUGAAAAAA
RNAcentral lists this unclassified non-coding RNA (282 nucleotides) under Hevea brasiliensis (rubber tree). Lineage: Eukaryota; Viridiplantae; Streptophyta; Magnoliopsida; Malpighiales; Euphorbiaceae. The record is from RNAcentral.